Molecule: long non-coding RNA, 281 nt
Filed under: Homo sapiens (human)
Lineage: Eukaryota; Metazoa; Chordata; Mammalia; Primates; Hominidae
Description: HSALNT0061180
Source: RNAcentral
CCAAGGCUUGAGGAAUUCUGUACUUACUCCCACUGUCACCCUGCUCUUCAUCCCCCAGCUCAGGUAAGGGGAACGCAGGGAAGGCUGAAGAGUGCUAGCUGCGGAAGCACUGAAUUAGGGUGUCCUCAGCCCUCCAUUCCCAACUGGAAGCCAGUAGUUCACUUAGUGUAUAUAGCAGAGCCUCAAAAGCACAAGCAUUUUGAGUGUCGUUUUUCUGUGCCCUCCAGCGAUGAGAUGGCAAAUGGUGGGAAAGUGUCAGCUGUGUGAAAAGAUAGUGAUUG